This 72-nucleotide transfer RNA is filed under the name Thiomonas sp. CB2. RNAcentral describes it as "Pseudo tRNA". The record is from RNAcentral. RNAcentral also lists the same sequence under 3 other names. Lineage: Bacteria; Pseudomonadati; Pseudomonadota; Betaproteobacteria; Burkholderiales.
UGGGUUGCAGCUAUAAUGAACUUUUGCUUUGGGAGCAGAGGGUCGGAGGUUCGAAUCCUCUCGCCCCGACCA